AUCUAGGACUUCGCUGUUUAAAUAUGAUCUCACAUAGAACCUCAUCUGACUCUAACAGCAAAUAAUACUUGAGGUAUUUGCAGGGGUAUUUGGAGUAAUUCCUUAGGACUUUAAGUCUUUGUAGGAAAGAAAGAUGCAAGGAAAACGGUUUAAUGGCAACCCCAAUGAUCUUUAAACUGUAGGUUUUAUUUUUGGUAUCUUGUAGAUGAGGCCAUUGAGAGAUUGUCUGGUCCAUGGCAAAGUUGGGACUUGAAAUCUGGUUCAAGUUCAACCGGACUUCAAGUCCGGUUCUUUGCCUUUGAAGCACAUGUGCCUUUUUCUAUACAAUUCAGUGAAAUUAACCUUGAAUAUAGAGUUGAGGCCCUAAAGGUCCAGAAAUUAUUUUUGAUGCAAUUAUUUACUGGGUUCUAAUCCCUAAAGAAGGUCUCAGUGUGACAUUUUGAUCCUCAUGGAGACAGAAUUUAAAGAUGGAGGCAGCCCUGGAAGCUGCAUCAAAACCUUUGGCAAAAGAACAACAUC
This 519-nucleotide long non-coding RNA is filed under the name Capra hircus (goat). Its description in RNAcentral is "lncRNA (ENSCHIG00010019371.1)". Lineage: Eukaryota; Metazoa; Chordata; Mammalia; Artiodactyla; Bovidae. The record is from RNAcentral.